GACGAACGCUGGCGGCGCGCUUAACACAUGCAAGUCGAACGGAAAGGCCUGCUUUCCCUUGUGGAUUGCGGGUACUCGAGUGGCGAACGGGUGAGUAACACGUGAGUGAUCUGCCCCCAACUUGGGUAUAAGCUUGGGAAACUGGGUCUAAUUCCCGAUAGGACUGCAGGGUGGUGCCUGUGGUGGAAAACGAUUUUCUAGUGGUUGGGGAUGAGCUCGCGGCCUAUCAGCUUGUUGGUGGGGUAAUGGCCUACCAAGGCGGCGACGGGUAGCCGGCCUGAGAGGGUGGACGGCCACAUUGGGACUGAGAUACGGCCCAGACUCCGACGGGAGGCAGCAGUGGGGAAUAUUGCACAAUGGGCGGAAGCCUGAUGCAGCGACGCCGCGUGGGGGAUGACGGCCUUCGGGUUGUAAACUCCUUUCGACCGCGAGGAAGCCACCUGGUUGGAAGGGUGGUGACGGUAGUGGGAGAAGAAGCACCGGCUAACUACGUG
This 494-nucleotide ribosomal RNA is filed under the name uncultured bacterium. RNAcentral describes it as "partial 16S ribosomal RNA". It matches the Rfam family "Bacterial small subunit ribosomal RNA", at positions 28 to 507 of the family's 1533-position model. The record is from RNAcentral.